Malaclemys terrapin pileata is the source of this 1417-nucleotide long non-coding RNA. RefSeq lists it as uncharacterized. The record is from RefSeq and is a predicted model, not a curated record. Lineage: Eukaryota; Metazoa; Chordata; Testudines; Emydidae. The transcript has 3 exons.
CAGAGCCUAAAAGUACCUUGCCACAGGUCAGCAAGCAUGAUGUCGCUUCGAGUUGAAUUUGACUACACUGCCAGGCUGGCUAAAAAGUGCAAAAUUUGGAUCUGGCUUUCAAACCCCUCUCAGUUUGAUAUUCUGUAAAGUAUCCCAAUUCAGGUGUUUGCAAAAUAAAUCUGUGACUUCAAGAAAGAAAUCAAAGAUGUGUGUAGCUGUUACUUGAAGCAGAGUACAUUGGAGUAAAGAAGACUCUGUGUGAAUUAAUAAUGAGACACAAAUGAGCAUGCAUAAGUGUGUGGUUAUGAACAUCUGUUUCAGGUACAUCAUUAGGGCACAAAAAGCCAGAACCUGCUCCCACUGAAGUCAAUUGGAAUUUUGCUGUUGACUUAGGGCUGGUCCACACUAACCCCCCACUUCGAACUAAGAUACGCAACUUCAGCUACGUUAUUCACGUAGCUGAAGUCGAACUAUCUUAGUUCGAACUUACCAUGGGUCCACACGUGGCAGGCAGGCUCCCCCGUCGACUCCGCGUACUCCUCUCGUGGAGCAGGAGUACUGGCGUCGACAGCGAGCACUUCCGGGAUCGAUCCCAGAAGAUCGAUUGCUUACCGCCGGACCUGGAGGUAAGUAUAGACGUACCCUUAAAUAGAAGCAAAUUUGAGUCCUUACAGGGGUAUGUGAAAAAAUGCUCGUGGCCAGAGAGUAUUCCUUUUUAAAAAAAGAGAGUAAUCUGAGAGUUGUUUGGACUAGAGAUUUGGAUACACAACUAUCUCUGACCCAAUGCAAUACAAAUGUAUUUAAUGUUAAAAAAAGCAACUAUCGAUCUGAGGGUAGGCUUAUUUAUCAAAAAACACUUUUUCAAAUAUAGUGUCCCCACAUACGCUAAUGGUAAUGGGCCUCAUAAAUGCUGACUGCUAUUGUAAUUGUAACUUCCGUGGUGCUACAUUAGCUCAUAUGUUUUGGGAGUGUCCCAGUAUCAAGAAUUUCUGAUACAAGCUGGGUCAAAGGGCUACCUUGAUACUAAGCUGGAGCCCUACCCCUUAAGUUUCACUCUUGGAUAUAUUUCUGAUGCCUGUAGUUACCUGGUAACAAAACAGUGUGGUUCUAAUAUACAGUUUUGGUCCCUAACAAAUGAAACCUGCAAAAAUGGAAAAGUCAAUCCCCACCAGACAUUGAUGACUGGUUCAGUGACAUGGCAGCAAAUGAAUGACUGGCAUUUUGCAGAAGGGGAAUGCCUGAAAAAUUCAAAACAAUUUAGGCUGACUUUUAUAAUUAAGGUAGAACUUGAAAAUAGAUAUGUUGCUUCCCCUGUCCUCUCUUAAUCCUAACCCUCUUUAUUUACUUCAUGUAUUAUGAUGAAUUUGGUAUUAUGGUACAUUUGUUAUAUUUGGAAAAAAUAAUAUAUAUAUAAAUAAUAAAAGAG